This 370-nucleotide long non-coding RNA is filed under the name Nicotiana benthamiana. RNAcentral's name for it is "long non-coding RNA (NBEN_LNC002041)". Lineage: Eukaryota; Viridiplantae; Streptophyta; Magnoliopsida; Solanales; Solanaceae. The record is from RNAcentral.
UGUAGAAGUUCCUAAAGCUGUUGAAGAAAUUAAGAAGAAAAAGCCUAGGAAAAAUAAAAGGCAUAAAAAUAGUAAGAAUCAUGUUAGAAAUUGCGAUGCGCAACCUAGAAAUAAUUCUAGGAUUUUCGUAAAUGAGACUAGACAUAAUUAUUUUAGGCCACCUAGAAAUGACUCUAGAAAUUUUAUAAACAAGCCUAGAAAUAAUCAUUUUAGGCCACCUAGAAAUGAUUCUAGGAUUUUGUUAAUGAGUCUAAUAUUAAUUAUUUUAGACCACCUAGAAAUGAUUCUAGGAAUUUUACUAAUGAGACUAGAAAUAAUCAUUUUAGGCCACCUAGAAAUAAUUCUAGGAUUUUUGUCAAUGAGUCUAGAA